Molecule: long non-coding RNA, 1401 nt
Filed under: Bos indicus x Bos taurus (hybrid cattle)
Lineage: Eukaryota; Metazoa; Chordata; Mammalia; Artiodactyla; Bovidae
Description: lncRNA (ENSBIXG00005031183.1)
Rfam family: tRNA (bases 886-954)
Source: RNAcentral
CAUCCCUGGACCUGGGCCAGAGGCUUAGCUGCCUCUGCUGAGGCUGACGCAGCCUGCGUGAGGAACGUGGCCGACGAGCAGGACAGGACUGAGCCUGCGAGCAGGGUAGGAUGUCAGAGAACCAGAAACAGCCCACCUGGGAACAAAGUCAGCAUGGAGUAAACUGAUCUGGAAGAUACUAAGAGCUGGAGAGGCAGAGAUCUGAUAACAUCAGGUGCUGGAUCCAGCCAUUCCUGAAGCUAACUCUCUGGAUAUUACUGCUAUGUGAGCCCAUGAAUCUGGUUGGAGAGGAGCAUGAAAGGUUUACUGGAAGAGUUGACGUUUACCGUAGCCUUGCCGGAGGAUGACCCGGUCAGGAUGGACUGUGCUGGGCUGCAAUGACAACCCCCUUCUGGAUCCUAUUGAUGAGUGACAACUCCAGAGAAGGGAAUGUGGGAGGGCUUUCUAGAAGGAGAAGACAGCUUGGCCAAAGGUUCAGAGGUGCCGACGUGAGGGUCUGCUCGAGAGGAAGUGAUUUUCCCCAUUGCUCACAGCUGGACAUUACAUGUCAAGGAUGCUCUCAGAGGACUGGGAAAAGGUUCAGAGGUCCACAGAUAUGAUCCUUCUACUUGGGCUCCCGAAGCAAGCAGAAAGAUCCCUUCCCCUCCCCAUGAAGUCCAAGCAGGGCUGCAGAAAGAAGGGAGAGUUCAGGAAGAAGCACUUGCUUUUGCUCACUUGUUCAACCACUGUUUACUGGCUUUCUGUAUGAAUCGGGUACCUUGAAAGAUGCCAGGAGAGAUGGGAUGAGAUGAUGAUGGUCGUGAUCAUGAUGGCUAACAUUCUAUCAAGGACUUUGUACAUGCCAGGCACUGUUCUAGGAUGUUUCACAGGUCCUUAUGUGACUUCCCUGAUGGCUCAGAUGGUAAAGCAUCUGCCUACAAUGCAGGAGACCUGAGUUCGAUCCCUAGGUUAGGAAGAUCCCCUGAAGAAGGAAAUAGCAACCCACUCCAGUACUGUUGCCUUGAAAAUCCCAUGGAUGGAGGAACCUGGUAGGCUACAGUCCAUGGGGACAUAAAGAGUUGAACACGACUGAGCAACUUCACUUUCUUUCUUUCUUUCUUUUCUUUACGUGUAUUAACUGGUAUUUCUUAAAACGACCCUAGAAGAUAGCUCUGUUAUUAUGUACAACUUCCCAAUGAGGAGGCCGAGGCAGCAAAUUACAGAACGUGCCAGGGCCACAAAAGCUGGUGAGAUCAGAGAUGAGAUACAAAUGAUCUGCAGAGAUCAAAGUCCCAGCUUCCCAGGAGGAGGGGCGGGGGUGGGGUGAGGGAGACGGAGAGAGGAGGGGGAGGGGGGGGGAGAGGGAGAGGGGAGAGAAGAGGGAGGAGGGGAGGGGGGCGAGGAGGUGGUGUGUGGGUGCAA